CCCCCCUGAGGAUCACAUCUGGAGAGUUCUCAGUACUCUACCAGUCUUGAUUAUGGGAGGGAGAGUCAGGCAGAGGUCAUUCCAUUCCAAUCCUAGCUUGGGCAGUGGCUAAUCACUGGAAGGCAAUCUGCUACAAGU
Non-coding RNA from Ornithorhynchus anatinus (platypus), 138 nucleotides. The record is from Rfam. Lineage: Eukaryota; Metazoa; Chordata; Mammalia; Monotremata; Ornithorhynchidae.